RNAcentral lists this non-coding RNA (195 nucleotides) under insect gut metagenome. The record is from RNAcentral.
AGAACUAAUAAUAUUUAGAAUCGAAUGAUAGAGUAAUAUCUUGAAAGAUUCUCCCUAAUACUCCGACAUGCAUAUAUAUAGCAAGAUAUAUUUGUAUGAAGCUCGGUGAAGACGGCUAAGAUUUCUCCCUAACAGUUAUGCUGAGGAAAUGUGAAUCAGAAAUGAUCAAGAGAUUUAUAGGUCGGGGGUUUAUAA